GUCCCCGUCGUCUAGUGGUCUAGGACACCGGGUUUUCAUCCCGGCAACAGGGGUUCGAUCCCCCUCGGGGAUG
This 73-nucleotide transfer RNA is filed under the name Spirochaetota bacterium. Its description in RNAcentral is "Spirochaetes bacterium (freshwater sediment metagenome) tRNA-Glu". It matches the Rfam family "tRNA". Rfam says of the family: Transfer RNA (tRNA) molecules are approximately 80 nucleotides in length. Their secondary structure includes four short double-helical elements and three loops (D, anti-codon, and T loops). Further hydrogen bonds mediate the characteristic L-shaped molecular structure. tRNAs have two regions of fundamental functional importance: the anti-codon, which is responsible for specific mRNA codon recognition, and the 3' end, to which the tRNAs corresponding amino acid is attached (by aminoacyl-tRNA synthetases). tRNAs cope with the degeneracy of the genetic code in two manners: having more than one tRNA (with a specific anti-codon) for a particular amino acid; and 'wobble' base-pairing, i.e. permitting non-standard base-pairing at the 3rd anti-codon position. The record is from RNAcentral. Lineage: Bacteria; Pseudomonadati; Spirochaetota.